GCGCUUGUAGCUCAGGUGGAUAGAGCAACUGCCUUCUAAGCAGUGGGCCCGGGGUUCGAGUCCCUGCAAGCGCGCCA
RNAcentral lists this transfer RNA (77 nucleotides) under Oscillospiraceae bacterium. RNAcentral's name for it is "tRNA-Arg". It matches the Rfam family "tRNA". Rfam says of the family: Transfer RNA (tRNA) molecules are approximately 80 nucleotides in length. Their secondary structure includes four short double-helical elements and three loops (D, anti-codon, and T loops). Further hydrogen bonds mediate the characteristic L-shaped molecular structure. tRNAs have two regions of fundamental functional importance: the anti-codon, which is responsible for specific mRNA codon recognition, and the 3' end, to which the tRNAs corresponding amino acid is attached (by aminoacyl-tRNA synthetases). tRNAs cope with the degeneracy of the genetic code in two manners: having more than one tRNA (with a specific anti-codon) for a particular amino acid; and 'wobble' base-pairing, i.e. permitting non-standard base-pairing at the 3rd anti-codon position. Lineage: Bacteria; Bacillati; Bacillota; Clostridia; Eubacteriales; Oscillospiraceae. The record is from RNAcentral.